Molecule: long non-coding RNA, 614 nt
Organism: Onychostoma macrolepis
Lineage: Eukaryota; Metazoa; Chordata; Actinopteri; Cypriniformes; Cyprinidae
Exons: 6
Source: RefSeq, a predicted model, not a curated record
UUCUGUUUAGUGUGGCAGACCACCGACAGAGCCAGAGGCAGCUUGCAAAUUGAGCUGUCCUCAUGCUGGUGAAAAUUCAGUAUCAAUGAGUGAAGAAAUUUGUGGAACUGCUUAACGAUUGUGCAUUCCAAGUUUUUCUCAAUGAAGUUAAAAGACAGACACCGAUGUGGAAGAGGACGCAAAUUGAAGGCAUCUGCAUUUAAGAUGUCCAGAAGAAAUUGUUUCUGCUGGCAUACCUGAAGUCACCCACAGGAUCCUCAACCCUCAGCACAAGUACUCAUUCUCUCACUCUCUUCAGCUGACCAUGAGACAGAGCAGUGCAAAAUCAAUAGGCAUCGGCUAGCAAAAGCUUUAGCAUAGAUGCUAAGGCAAACGGAUUGUCCAAGACACCCUGGAAAAACAAUACAGUGAUGAGGAUGAAAACUAAGAUGAGACAGACUUGUGCACUUCCAUAAGUCCUGCACCAGUAUUGAAGCCCAUCUCAGUCAGAGGGAGGACCACCAGCCAUACCUACUGCUAUUGAGAAGGAUCAGAGGCAGGAUCACCUUAUUCUAUGUGGUUGGACAAGCUUCUCAUCUAUACCGAAGGAACCAGCUCCUUGAGUACUAUUGAAC